AGGGACAGCAGCCGCCGCGGUAAUACAGAGGGUGCGAGCGUUAAUCGGAUUUACUGGGCGUAAAGCGUGCGUAGGCGGCUUCUUAAGUCGGAUGUGAAAUCCCUGAGCUUAACUUAGGAAUUGCAUUCGAUACUGGGAAGCUAGAGUAUGGGAGAGGAUGGUAGAAUUCCAGGUGUAGCGGUGAAAUGCGUAGAGAUCUGGAGGAAUACCGAUGGCGAAGGCAGCCAUCUGGCCUAAUACUGACGCUGAGGUACGAAAGCAUGGGGAGCAAACAGGAUUAGAUACCCGCGUAGUCCCUGUCUCUUAUAC
RNAcentral lists this ribosomal RNA (309 nucleotides) under uncultured bacterium. Its description in RNAcentral is "partial 16S ribosomal RNA". It matches the Rfam family "Bacterial small subunit ribosomal RNA", at positions 504 to 807 of the family's 1533-position model. The record is from RNAcentral.